This is a long non-coding RNA of Silurus meridionalis, 770 nucleotides long. RefSeq lists it as uncharacterized. Lineage: Eukaryota; Metazoa; Chordata; Actinopteri; Siluriformes; Siluridae. The transcript has 2 exons. The record is from RefSeq and is a predicted model, not a curated record.
AGCACAGUGAGCAAAAACUGUAGAAUCUUCAUGUGAAAAUUGUGUAGUUAAAUAAAGUUCUUCAAGAGAGUCACACUGGAUCUGUUCUGUUGUGACUCGCGAGCAUCAGGUUGCACAAUCAGUUCGCUCACAACAUAGUGAUGGAUUCCAUUAAAAUGGUGCAAAGAAACACUAAAGCUAAAAGCAGCAAAUAGCAGCAGCAGUAAAUUAAUACAAUUUUAUUUGUUACUAAGCCUGUUAGCCUGCUGCGUUUCUCUGUUCCAUUUACUUUUCAUAGCUUUUGUCUACUACAACAAUUUGGGCAUAAACAGAGGUCGGAGCCAAGUGGGUGGGACUUAAGCUCCAAGUGGGCCGGUCAGCUCCAAAUGGGUGGCACUUGAGCCCCAAGUAGGAUGUUGAAACCUCCUGUGGACAAUGAUUAAUUGAUUAAAUGCCUUGUACAUGAGCUGAAUGUGGUAGUGUGUGAAUUUUGUUUCAAAUCGUUUGUGAAAAUGAAGAGACGACAUCCGCAUGGUUUUGAUGGCAGCUAACAGCGCUGAGUUGGAGAGGCUGAGUUCAUGGCGGCAAUAUUCACAGGCUGCAGUGGUUGCUGGGAGUUCGAGUUGCUCUCAGGCUGAAAUCUGACAAACACAAGGAUUCUGUGUAUUGAUGUUUUUGUAGCAGCAACGUUAGAAAUGUAAAAUUAAUGAGGUGUAUCAAGUAUUAUUAUUAUUAUUAUUAUUAUUAUUAUAUAAUUAUUAUUAUUAUUAUUAUACAGUACUGUGAAAAUG